GAAAAUAUAAGGAUUAUAUUGAUCAUGGACAAAUUUUAAUUACUCAAAAACAAGUGGGUAUUACUAUAAAAAAAAUUAACCUGAAGAAGACUGCACCCUCAGGUUCCCAGUAAUGCAUCAUGUUCAUUGAUUAUUUUAGUAAUAAAUCUGACGGCUAAAAGGUCCUUUCCCAUGGUGGGAGACCUACAUCCCUUUCCCAUGCUAGAC
RNAcentral lists this long non-coding RNA (207 nucleotides) under Trifolium pratense (red clover). RNAcentral describes it as "long non-coding RNA (TPRA_LNC006616)". The record is from RNAcentral. Lineage: Eukaryota; Viridiplantae; Streptophyta; Magnoliopsida; Fabales; Fabaceae.